Long non-coding RNA from Sebastes umbrosus (honeycomb rockfish), 1136 nucleotides. RefSeq lists it as uncharacterized. The transcript is spliced from 2 exons. Lineage: Eukaryota; Metazoa; Chordata; Actinopteri; Perciformes; Sebastidae. The record is from RefSeq and is a predicted model, not a curated record.
UUUGUCUGAUUUUAUUUGCCUCAUUGCAGUCCUGACAUUUUUUAAUCCAGGUUAAGCACGUUGUGACUUUGUUUUUAAAGUGCUGUAUGAAUUAAGUUUAUUAUUAUUAUUAUCUGGCCAUCACUUCACUGCAGCCAUGGAAGAGCAAACUUCCCACACACUAAUAUGAGAAAAUCUAAAUUACAGGGCCAUUAGAGCUGCUCUCAGUGCAUCUCUCUACUUCCUCUGAUCUUUUAUUACAGUCAUCUGAUCUGCCUGUAAAGGAAACUCGAGCCUCAGGUUUGAACAGCUCUGGUGGAGUGUCACUGGAAAAUAAUUGUAUCACUUCCCUUCCGCUUUGGUCAAAAGCUUUUCUCAGUUUGACCUUACGUACACAUUUUCUCCAGUAAAAAAUAAUUGUAGGACAGUAAAAGAUUUAUGUAGUUGAGGCUGGUAACAACUAGUUUUAAUUCUGUCACUCAACAAGUCAGUUUGGACAUCUGCAAACUAGAAUUACCGCCUUGCUGUUGUGUGCCUCCGCCAAGUCCAGUUGCAGUUUACAUCCAUGUCUGUCCUAAAUAUCAUCACUUCAUCAUUUUAUCCCAUUAGACAUUUGUGUGAAAUUGGCAUAAUUAGCGAUAUUAAUUCUUGAGUUAUGUAUAAGUUAUGUGUUUUGUGAGGAUACUGUGACCCUUGACCACCAAAAAUGAGUUCAUCCUUGAGUCCAACUGGACCUUUGUACCAAAUUUAAAGAAAUUCCCUCCAGGUGUUCCUGAGAUAUUGCAUUCAAAAGAAUGGGUCGGUCAGACGUAUGUACGGACAGAUGGACAACCCAAAAUCAUAAUACCUCCGGCCACGGCAGUCACUAGCAUGGAAGCAUAAAAAUGGGUGUGCGUACCUGAGAGUUUGGACUGUUGGCUGGCGUAGCUGGACGUUCGGGAGUGGCCGCAGCCCCCAAGUUCAUCAGAAACAACAGGACACUUCCCUUCUCGACUCUCUGCUAGAUUAGAAAGAACAGAAGUAAAGUCAAACGGGAUGACGAAGGCCUGAAAGAGUCUGUUCUUCUAUUGCAAAAAACUGCCAUAAUUUAAGUAAGGCUACGUUCAACUUUCCUCAUAUAGUCGAAAAGAAACUGGGGAUAAACUAGCAUGAAACCU